RNAcentral lists this ribosomal RNA (583 nucleotides) under Aureobasidium sp. Its description in RNAcentral is "partial large subunit ribosomal RNA". It matches the Rfam family "Eukaryotic large subunit ribosomal RNA", at positions 55 to 653 of the family's 3401-position model. The record is from RNAcentral. RNAcentral also lists the same sequence under 1 other name. Lineage: Eukaryota; Fungi; Ascomycota; Dothideomycetes; Dothideales; Saccotheciaceae.
GGAAAAGAAACCAACAGGGAUUGCCCUAGUAACGGCGAGUGAAGCGGCAACAGCUCAAAUUUGAAAGCUAGCCUUCGGGUUCGCAUUGUAAUUUGUAGAGGAUACUUUGGGUAAAACGCCAGUCUAAGUUCCUUGGAACAGGACGUCAUAGAGGGUGAGAAUCCCGUAUGUGACUGGAAACGUUGACCUAUGUAAAGUUCCUUCGACGAGUCGAGUUGUUUGGGAAUGCAGCUCUAAAUGGGAGGUAAAUUUCUUCUAAAGCUAAAUAUUGGCGAGAGACCGAUAGCGCACAAGUAGAGUGAUCGAAAGAUGAAAAGCACUUUGGAAAGAGAGUUAAAAAGCACGUGAAAUUGUUGAAAGGGAAGCGCUUGCAAUCAGACUUGUUUAAACUGUUCGGCCGGUCUUCUGACCGGUUUACUCAGUUUGGACAGGCCAGCAUCAGUUUCGGCGGCCGGAUAAAGGCUCUGGGAAUGUGGCCUCCACUUCGGUGGAGGUGUUAUAGCCCAGUGUGUAAUACGGCCAGCCGGGACUGAGGUCCGCGCUUCGGCUAGGAUGCUGGCGUAAUGGUUGUAAGCGACCCGUC